ACAAUAUUUGGACCGUCAGUCUACCGAGAAAUUACACCCGCUCGGCAGAAGAUCUUCCCUUUGUCGU
RNAcentral lists this microRNA precursor (67 nucleotides) under Bombyx mori (domestic silkworm). RNAcentral's name for it is "mir-2774 microRNA precursor family". It matches the Rfam family "mir-2774 microRNA precursor family". Lineage: Eukaryota; Metazoa; Arthropoda; Insecta; Lepidoptera; Bombycidae. The record is from Rfam by way of RNAcentral.